Molecule: long non-coding RNA, 2422 nt
Filed under: Fragaria vesca (wild strawberry)
Lineage: Eukaryota; Viridiplantae; Streptophyta; Magnoliopsida; Rosales; Rosaceae
Description: long non-coding RNA (FVES_LNC002441)
Source: RNAcentral
GUUCAUGAAGUACUAUUCCCGUGAGCAGUGCUGGGCUUAGGCAUGUUCGAGCUUCUAGCGUCUUCUCCCAAAAUCUCUCUAGACGCUUCUCGCCUCCUCUGCUGCCUGUCUCUCUAUACUCUUCUCCCAUUCUCUGCCGCUCAAGAGAGGGUUUGCUCUUCUCACUUUCUCUCUCGCCCAAGAUCUCUCUCUGUAUCUCUCUCACCUGUUCCUUUGGUCUUAGCUCGGAGGUGUGUGCUCUCCUGAAACGUCCAUAAAGAUCUACAUAGAAAACUCCAGCUAUUAUUAUCCUGACCAAUCUCAACCAGUUCGGGCUGGGUAUAAACCCUGGGUUUCUGACUUUUCUCUCGCCUUCCAGAUCGUUCUUGAGACUUGCCCUUUUCUCUCCCCAAAAAUCUGAUCUUCGCUCUUGCAUCCAUCCGACUCUAAUCCUCCACCUUGCUGAAAUCUCGCCUUCUUCAAAACCGCUUGAAUCUUAUAAGUCUCCUCAUCAUCUCAAAAAUCUGGUGGGUUGUGAAUUUUUUUUUCCUAGGUUUUUAUCAUUUUUUUUGUUUGAAUGAUUUCUUUUCAUGUCUUCAGGUUCUGUGAUUGAUUGCCUUUCUUAGAAAAGAGAGUUCUAUCACGGCCAAGAAAUGUACUGCUUCUUGAGUAAUUGGUUUUCAAUUUAUUCUUCUUCUGAAUUGAGGAAAGAGUGCCUUCUUCCGAAGGAAGAACAUCUUCUUCUUAAAUUGAAUCCUUCUGCUACAAAAUUAUGUUGUUAAGGAAAUUGAGAUAUAGCUUUUACUUUCUUUUUUUUCCAUCAAGUAUUGAUUUCAGUGAAGGACUAUCAGUUGGUUCCAUUGUCUUGAUGUGCACAUAGACAUGCAGAUAGAGCGUGGCAGCACUUUAUAAUAGCAUUAUUCCACUCAUUCCAGUUAGGUAACAACAUACUAGACCUGUUGAGCAUUUUUAAAAUUAAGCACCAAGUGCAUUUUCUCUUGACAAAAUCUACAGUUAGGAGAGUGUGCUUACAAUCUUGCUUGCACAAUAAUUCCUUGCCAUCAUAAUGUCAGAAUGAUAUCAAUUGAUUGAAUUAGUUUUGGUGAAGUUGUAAAGUUGAUUUCGUAAUUUAGUUGUUGUUUUGUUUGGUUUUAAAAAAAAAUUAUAUGAUAUAUAAGUUAACUGUCAACUUUAAUCAUUGUUCCUUUCUUUGUUGACUGUUGAUUGGUACUAUCCUCAUUCAUUGUUCUCAAUCAAGUACAAAUAAAAUUGUUAUUAGGACCGUAAACUUGAAAGAUCAAGGAAAAAAAAUUAAAUUUGUGCCCCCCAGAUCGUUUUCAGAUAUUAAAAACUUGAGUACUAGCACCAGGGCAACAGUUUUCCAAAUUAUUGGUUUACACCCUAAACUUUAACUUGCCACAUUACCAAUUCUACUUUGUAUUUUAUUGUUCGGGGAGGAAACAAGCACAUAAUACAGAUAAACCCAAUAAGUUCAUCUUGCAUUCCCCAUGAGUUUAUGCAAAGUUCAAAAGGCUAAACCAUGCCCUUCAAACGUGUCUUUGCUUCAAUAAUCUUCCUUUUUACUCAAAUUAUUGGUUUUUUUUUACAGUCUUCCUUUACUCUAUUAAAACCCAAAGGACUUUCCAUCAACUGACGCAUUAAUCUCCCAUCUCUUUUGCUCUUAUUGUAAAUAGAAAAGGAAACACUUGGCAGUUUCUGUUAUCUGUUCUCUGAUAUUAGCAUCAAUUCUUCUCAACAGGCAAGUCCAGUUAUUCGGCCUUAUGUCUUUCUCUUUAGUAAAACAGUAUGUUUUCAUUGUUUUAGACCUCCCAAGGAAUCAAUUAUGGCAAUCAUCUGCAUUAUUAUGUUAUCGUGCAUCAUAAUGUAUACAUGGUGGAACUAGAACCUCAGGUACAAAACCGUGGAGAAUGCAAUGCUGAAGCAAAAUAGUUGAACUAGAAGCUCAAGUACAAAACCAUGGAGAAUGCAAUGCUGAAGCAAAACAGUGGUACUAGACUAGAAAUUUUCUUAUUUGAUAUCAAAUAAUUAUAGUCAAUGGAACUUACAAAUGUGUAUCACUACAUUCUUAUUUUCUCAUACAUUUAUCAACUUUUGUGUUUUUUAUUUCAGCUAUCAAACAUAGUUAUGCUCCAUAGAAGUUAGAGAAAAAGUUAUUUACAUGAACUUUUGUUGUUAAGGUUAGUUUUUCAAAUUGUGUUAAUUUGUUUCCAGUUUAUUUUCUUAGUUUAGGGAAGUGGAAUAUGCCUAGACCAACGGUUUGGCAUUCACAUACUGUUCAAUCCUCAGAUUAACAAUGUAGAUAGAACUUAUUUAAUCUUUCACUCAAUUCAUCUUAACCAUCUCUUAAGUGGUCUAUGCUUCCUUCUAGUGGAGAUUUUGUAACUUUCAGGGUACCAUGUAUCAUUGUUUUGUUGUAUCUUUA